CUGAAAGAACGACUACCGACUAAACCCCAUCGAG
This 34-nucleotide small RNA is filed under the name Bombyx mori (domestic silkworm). Its description in RNAcentral is "ovarian small RNA-14727". The record is from RNAcentral. Lineage: Eukaryota; Metazoa; Arthropoda; Insecta; Lepidoptera; Bombycidae.